CUGUCAUCUGGGAACAAUGUGAUCUACCUAACACGUGGAUUAUUGAUAGUACCGGAAGAGGAAGCAGUGGCUAACUCUGUGC
This 82-nucleotide ribosomal RNA is filed under the name uncultured bacterium. Its description in RNAcentral is "partial 16S ribosomal RNA". The record is from RNAcentral.